Molecule: ribosomal RNA, 375 nt
Filed under: uncultured bacterium
Lineage: Bacteria
Description: bacterial SSU rRNA
Rfam family: Bacterial small subunit ribosomal RNA
Source: RNAcentral
AUACGUAGGGUGCAAGCGUUAAUCGGAAUUACUGGGCGUAAAGCGUGCGCAGGCGGUUCGGAAAGAAGGAUGUGAAAUCCCAGGGCUCAACCUUGGAACUGCAUUCUUAACUACCGGGCUAGAGUGUGUCAGAGGGAGGUGGAAUUCCGCGUGUAGCGGUGAAAUGCGUAGAUAUGCGGAGGAACACCGAUGGCGAAGGCAGCCUCCUGGGAUAACACUGACGCUCAGGCACGAAAGCGUGGGGAGCAAACAGGAUUAGAUACCCUGGUAGUCCACGCCCUAAACGAUGUCAACUAGCUGUUGGGUUCUUCGGAGCUUAGUAGCGCAGCUAACGCGUGAAGUUGACCGCCUGGGGAGUACGGUCGCAAGAUUAAA